This 443-nucleotide ribosomal RNA is filed under the name uncultured bacterium. RNAcentral describes it as "partial 16S ribosomal RNA". It matches the Rfam family "Bacterial small subunit ribosomal RNA", at positions 338 to 795 of the family's 1533-position model. The record is from RNAcentral.
CCUACGGGUGGCUGCAGUGGGGAAUAUUGGGCAAUGGGCGCAAGCCUGACCCAGCAACGCCGCGUGAAGGAAGAAGGCCUUCGGGUUGUAAACUUCUUUUCUGAGGGACGAAGAAAGUGACGGUACCUCAGGAAUAAGCCACGGCUAACUACGUGCCAGCAGCCGCGGUAAUACGUAGGUGGCAAGCGUUAUCCGGAUUUAUUGGGUGUAAAGGGCGCGUAGGCGGGAAAGCAAGUCAGAUGUGAAAACUCAGGGCUCAACCCUGAGCCUGCAUUUGAAACUGGUAUUCUUGAGUGCUGGAGAGGCAGUCGGAAUUCGGGGUGUAGCGGUGAAAUGCGUAGAUAUACGGAAGAACACCAAUGGCGAAGGCAGAUUGCUGGACAGUAACUGACGCUGAGGCGCGAAAGCGUGGGGAGCAAACAGGAUUAGAUACCCUAGUAGUC